RNAcentral lists this ribosomal RNA (253 nucleotides) under uncultured bacterium. RNAcentral's name for it is "partial 16S ribosomal RNA". It matches the Rfam family "Bacterial small subunit ribosomal RNA", at positions 524 to 776 of the family's 1533-position model. The record is from RNAcentral.
GACGGGGGAUGCAAGCGUUAUCCGGACUCACUGGGCGUAAAGCGUCUGUAGGUGGUGAUGCAAGUCACUGGUGCAAAACUCUGGCUCAACCGGAGGAAAGCCAGUGAAACUGCAUGACUAGAGUGUGGGAGAGGUAGAAGGAAUUCCCUGAGUAGCGGUGAAAUGCGUAGAUACAGGGAAGAACACCGGAGGCGAAAGCGCUCUACUGGAACACAACUGACACUGAGAGACGAAAGCUAGGGGAGCGAAGGGG